GCGCGGGGCCCGCGGCUCCCACCCUGGGGACGCGCCUGCCUCCCAGCCGGUCCUGUUUGAGGACGGGGCGGGACGGGGAGGCUCGCGGGGGCUAGAAGCCACACGUUUCUUUUUUUUUCUGCAGUUUCUGGAAAGUGAGCCCAUACUUCGGUGCCCACGACCCGAAGCCCUCGGGUGCUCCCGAAGUUCGUUCGGAUUUCGAGCCCCGCCGCCUUUGUGGAAGGUGCAGUUACACCUGUAGGGGGACGGGGAGGGGAGCCCGCGUUUCCCAUCCAGGCAACGACCCGAGCCGGUGCAGCAGCAGGACCGUGGGGGCAGGUGCAGGUGCUCGGCGCGGGCGUCCUUGCUGCCUUCUCUGGGAGGUUUCGUGUUGGUGCUUGAGGGAGCUGCAGCAUGCCCGGCGUUGCUCUGUGCGAGGACGUGGUCCAGAGCCCCUCUGGAGGCAGAAGGCUGCCAGCUAUCGUGUAACCCAUACCCAGACAGCUGAUGGAAGAUUUUGCUUCUCCUUCCUCCAAGCUUUUGGAAAGUAAUAAAAGCAACGUAGAAAACGAGCAACUCAGGAAAUGGGUUGAAAGAGGAGGAGUUUGGAAUGUUCCACCACUUUACCUUAGGGAAUGGGGGGAGCUCUAGUGCAGCACUUGGAAUUACCUGCCACCUGUCGUUGUAUUGGAAGAAGCAGAGCUCAGAGAAACUGCCACGUGAUCUUCCUGAGAAGGUUUGCCUCUGUAAAGCUUAGUAAGACCGAAGGUAGACAACUCAUCCUACCUUUUGACCAGGUGUCCUUGUUGUUGUUGCUGUUUGUUUUUUGUUUUUAAAGGAAGAGAGGUAAUAAUUGUGUGAUGCAGCCUGUAGGGAGUAAACAAAACACCUCUGUGUUUAAUAAGUCUUUCAUUUAUUAAUUUU
Molecule: long non-coding RNA, 903 nt
Filed under: Vulpes vulpes (red fox)
Lineage: Eukaryota; Metazoa; Chordata; Mammalia; Carnivora; Canidae
Description: lncRNA (ENSVVUG00000003625.1)
Source: RNAcentral